This 450-nucleotide ribosomal RNA is filed under the name uncultured bacterium. RNAcentral describes it as "partial 16S ribosomal RNA". It matches the Rfam family "Bacterial small subunit ribosomal RNA", at positions 354 to 796 of the family's 1533-position model. The record is from RNAcentral.
GUCGAGAAUAAUUCACAAUGGGGGAAACCCUGAUGGUGCAACGCCGCGUGGAGGAUGAAGGUCUUCGGAUUGUAAACUCCUGUCAUCUGGGAGUAAGACCUGACGGUGAAUAGCCGGCAGGGUUGAUAGUACCAGAAGAGGAAGGGACGGCUAACUUCGUGCCAGCAGCCGCGGUAAUACGAAGGUCCCAAGCGUUGUUCGGAAUCACUGGGCGUAAAGGGAGCGUAGGCGGCGUGGUAAGUCAGAUGUGAAAGCCCGGGGCUCAACCUCGGAACUGCAUCCGAUACUGCCAUGCUUGAGGGCUGGAGAGGUAACUGGAAUUCUCGGUGUAGCAGUGAAAUGCGUGGAUAUCGAGAGGAACACUCGUGGCGAAGGCGAGUUACUGGACAGCAUCUGACGCUGAGGCACGAAGGCCAGGGGAGCGAAAGGGAUUAGAUACCCUAGUAGUCC